RNAcentral lists this ribosomal RNA (244 nucleotides) under uncultured bacterium. RNAcentral describes it as "partial 16S ribosomal RNA". It matches the Rfam family "Bacterial small subunit ribosomal RNA", at positions 96 to 334 of the family's 1533-position model. The record is from RNAcentral.
CGGCGGACGGGUGAGUAACACGUGGAUAACCUACCUAUAAGACUGGGAUAACUUCGGGAAACCGGAGCUAAUACCGGGUAAUAUAUUGAACCGCAUGGUUCAAUAGUGAAAGACGGUUUUGCUGUCACUUAUAGAUGGAUCCGCGCCGCAUUAGCUAGUUGGUAAGGUAACGGCUUACCAAGGCAACGAUGCGUAGCCGACCUGAGAGGGUGAUCGGCCACACUGGAACUGAGACACGGUCCAG